UCGGCUGGCGUUUGGCUUUUACGGAAGUGGUGCGGGUCAAAAAACGCCAGCGGGAGAUGCGGCGGUGGCGGUGUUGUUGUUGUUGUUGUUAUUGAAAAGCUCCUAAAAUGCAAGACAGCUGUCACGGAGCUCCUCCCGGACCAGACUUGCUGAGCCUACCUGGCGAAUUUCGUGUCCUUGUUGGUGUGACGGGUAGCGUAGCGGCCCUGAAGCUGCCCCUUCUGGUCUCCCAACUUCUUCAACUACCCGGGGUGGAUGUAAGAGUGGUAACCACAGAACAUGCCAAGCACUUCUAUGAUGUCACUGAAGUUGGAGUGAGGGUCUACAGUGAUAAGGAUGAGUGGGAGCAAUGGACACAGCGCUCUGACCCAGUGCUUCACAUUGAGUUGAGGCGAUGGGCAGACCUGCUUGUUAUUGCCCCGCUAGAUGCCAACACUCUUGGAAAGAUUGCUAGUGGCAUCUGUGACAAUCUGCUGACAUGUGUGGUAAGAGCCUGGGAUACUACCCGCCCCUUGCUCUUCUGCCCAGCCAUGAACACAGCCAUGUGGCAGCACCCUAUCACAGCACAGCAAGUCACCAGCCUCAAAGAGUUUGGCUAUGCAGAGAUCCCCUGCAUUUCCAAGAAGUUGGUGUGCGGCGAUGAAGGUAAAGGAGCCAUGGCAGAGGUGUCCACGAUUAUCGAUGCUGUCAAACAGUAUCUCCCAGAAGCCAAAUCAUCACCUCAGCAUUUGUGAAUGAACGUCCUGGAGUAUAUGUGGAAGGCUCCACGGAGCAGUAGGUCGUGAACGUCAUGGGGCUCGUCUACUCUGUUCGACGUGAUAGUAGAGAGAGACAGGAAAGGUGAGGGAGAGAGAGGGGAUGACAUACAGCAAAGGGCCCGGCCCGGAUUCGAGCCCAGGCCACUGCGGUGGAUGUGAGCCAUGUGGGAACAGGAGCCAUCUUGAACCAGGCAGAUGACCAGGGAGUUGACAGGCCAGUUAGUUUCUUUUCUAAGAAGUUCAGCCGGCAUCAGUUAAACUACUCAGUGGCUGAGAAAGAGGCCCUUGCUUUUAUCUCGGCCCUGCAGUAUUUUGCAGUUUAUGUGGA
Lampris incognitus (smalleye Pacific opah) is the source of this 1086-nucleotide RNA transcript. It is a transcript of the gene named phosphopantothenoylcysteine decarboxylase, with no coding region annotated. The transcript is spliced from 7 exons. The record is from RefSeq and is a predicted model, not a curated record. NCBI's taxonomy places the organism in Eukaryota, Metazoa, Chordata, Actinopteri, Lampriformes, Lampridae.